Molecule: ribosomal RNA, 1016 nt
Filed under: uncultured bacterium
Lineage: Bacteria
Description: bacterial SSU rRNA
Rfam family: Bacterial small subunit ribosomal RNA
Source: RNAcentral
AGGAAUAUUGGUCAAUGGGCGCAGGCCUGAACCAGCCAAGUAGCGUGAAGGAUGACUGCCCUAUGGGUUGUAAACUUCUUUUAUAAAGGAAUAAAGUCGGGUAUGUAUACCCGUUUGCAUGUACUUUAUGAAUAAGGAUCGGCUAACUCCGUGCCAGCAGCCGCGGUAAUACGGAGGAUCCGAGCGUUAUCCGGAUUUAUUGGGUUUAAAGGGAGCGUAGAUGGAUGUUUAAGUCAGUUGUGAAAGUUUGCGGCUCAACCGUAAAAUUGCAGUUGAUACUGGAUAUCUUGAGUGCAGUUGAGGCAGGCGGAAUUCGUGGUGUAGCGGUGAAAUGCUUAGAUAUCACGAAGAACUCCGAUUGCGAAGGCAGCCUGCUAAGCUGCAACUGACAUUGAGGCUCGAAAGUGUGGGUAUCAAACAGGAUUAGAUACCCUGGUAGUCCACACGGUAAACGAUGAAUACUCGCUGUUUGCGAUAUACAGUAAGCGGCCAAGCGAAAGCAUUAAGUAUUCCACCUGGGGAGUACGCCGGCAACGGUGAAACUCAAAGGAAUUGACGGGGGCCCGCACAAGCGGAGGAACAUGUGGUUUAAUUCGAUGAUACGCGAGGAACCUUACCCGGGCUUAAAUUGCAAAUGAAUUAUGGGGAAACCCAUACGCCGCAAGGCAUUUGUGAAGGUGCUGCAUGGUUGUCGUCAGCUCGUGCCGUGAGGUGUCGGCUUAAGUGCCAUAACGAGCGCAACCCUUAUCUAUAGUUACUAUCAGGUCAUGCUGAGGACUCUAUGGAGACUGCCGUCGUAAGAUGUGAGGAAGGUGGGGAUGACGUCAAAUCAGCACGGCCCUUACGUCCGGGGCUACACACGUGUUACAAUGGGGGGUACAGAAGGCAGCUACCUGGCGACAGGAUGCUAAUCCCCAAAACCUCUCUCAGUUCGGAUUGGAGUCUGCAACCCGACUCCAUGAAGCUGGAUUCGCUAGUAAUCGCGCAUCAGCCACGGCGCGGUGAAUACGUUCCCG